This 1943-nucleotide long non-coding RNA is filed under the name Mus musculus (house mouse). RNAcentral describes it as "predicted gene, 56733". Lineage: Eukaryota; Metazoa; Chordata; Mammalia; Rodentia; Muridae. The record is from RNAcentral.
GGUCACCUGCCGCUGGGCUCAAAGGAUGAACUGGCAGGAAUGGGCCUCCCCCCUCCUUUAUACAGCGUGUCCGUCAUUAAACAUUUGAACCUUGAGCAGACUAGCAUGUCUUGGUUCCAUUAUUUCUCGACCCGCCUAGGUCGGCCCCAACAAUUUGGCGAACCAACUCGAGACCUGAGAAUGGCAGAAGACACCGGAAGAAACACUGCUGGUAUGGAGCUCCACAGAUAGAAAAGAAUUAGAAAAUUCGUACUGGAACGCGGAGAAGCAACGGGCAAAAGGUUGCUAAGGUGUGGUAAGGUCUGAGCUGGAACUGCACUGACCCGCGCUGGAUCCGCUCAAGUUCAGCAGUGAUAUCAGGAUCUAGGAACAUUAACAGGCAGUCGGCCACAGCUUUCAGAAGCUACUUUUUAGGCGAGAGAAAUAAAAGGGUUUGGAUUAAAUAAUCAGGUGGAUUGGCCACAGUUGGAAACUGCAUCAGGCGGGAGGAUAAUGGAAUUUGAAAUUCUCCCAGAGGCAGAGAGAAAUCUUGGGGGUCGCCCUGCCUUUUUCUCUCUAGCCCUUACAGCAGAAGUUCUCUGCUCUCUUUGUGCUGUCUAACAUCUAAUGUCUGGUGCACCAGUCUGUCCACGUGUUCAAUUCAUGUGUGUUCGUGUCUAGUCGUCUGAAUGACUGAAUGCUCUGUGUUUCAUGUUGGAAAAUAAAGAUGGCUAAAACUUUAUCUGCCGGUUUAGUAAGAGAGUGGCCACAAGCUUUAUCCAGGAUCAGGCACAGCAGGAGGGCCCCUGCUGGAAAACUGUUUUUUAAGAAAGGGAGUCUGCCGCCUCAUGGUUUUGGAGCAAAAAAGCUGAUAGAUGGUUUUUUCCUAAGAAAAUUCUCUGCAAUCGUGAUUAUUGCGUUUAGCUAGUGGCAAAGUGUUUUUUAUUUUAUAAUUCUAGCUAGAAAAAUUAAAAUUCUCUGAUUGGUCUAAGUGUAGCCGAUUCAUUUGGUUUUUUACUGGUAAUGUGCUCUGCGUGUCUUUGCAAGAGUAUCAGCUCAUAAGUUAUUGGUUAGGAUUAAAUAAUUGUUACAUUGGUAACAGAAGGUUAGCUUCAAUUUGGCAACUCAGGAGUCUUUCAAACAUGUGGCAUAAAGCAGGCCAAAAACUAGGCCUCUAAGGAUACUUCUGGCUGAGGUAAUAUUUAAUGUGAUUCUUAUCCUAGAGAGUAGAAUUAAGAUAAGAUUUAAAGCAAUGUCUCUUUAAUGAAGCAUUAAAGCUUGCACUGUCAUGCAUUCAUAGGUAUAAACUGGCAGCCAAAUCUCGCAAUGUGGUAGUGAAGUUUUAAUGUUGAUUCUAAAGUGAUAAAUUGUUUUGAAAUUGGGUUUUGCUUUCCCAAGGUUGUAGUUAUGGUCUAAUAUUGCAAAGAAACUUAAAAGUUUGGAAAUCUGUCCUCACGGCAAGAGGAACUAAGCUCAGAGCAGCUUCUACGUAGUUUGUGUGACUCUCUUUGCAAAUGGGAGGGCUCAGGGGAGGGCCGCGCUCGCCAUUGACCCCAUGAGCCUCUGCCUGUUCCUGCCGGGGUAACCGUAUCCCCCACCCCCACCCCGCUAAGAUUCUGCCGCCCUCGCUUGGGCUUUCUGGCCUACAACAGAUUGGGCCGCCUUCAGUGCCUUCAGCCUCUUCUGCCUGACCGGAAGGCCGAGGGUGGGCGAGGCUGAGGUGGUGCUCACCUCAAAGCACAGUUUCAGCAACCUAUUAAAACUACUGUGGUGCUAAUAAAGAAUUGUAAGAUAUAUUCAUAUAUUUUGGAAAACCUAUAACAAAAAUUGUGUCUUAAGAACCUAAGUGUCUGUUCCAUGUUCAAAACAGCAAUUAAAUUGGUUAUUACAGAAUAUUAAUAAUUGACCUAUUGUAUACCAUUUUAAAUAAUAAUAGAUAAAAUAAAAUUUUGUUUUUAUGCAUG